Molecule: long non-coding RNA, 467 nt
Organism: Dicentrarchus labrax (European seabass)
Lineage: Eukaryota; Metazoa; Chordata; Actinopteri; Moronidae
Exons: 3
Source: RefSeq, a predicted model, not a curated record
GGGCUUCUAAGCAUACGUCAACACCACCGCCCAAAAGAAUUAUUAUUAUUUCUGGUCUCAUGUUUCAGUAUAUAUAUCUAUGGUUGGUUCGGCGACGUUUUCAAAAUAAAAGCACGACCGUCAAAAAGACAUGGAACCUCCUGAAGCUGACGGACUCCUGUACAUAAUGUGCGCAAAGCCAAUACACGAAGACCAUGGACCAAAGCAGAGGAAAAUGCUGUGCUGAAACAUUUCAAGUCCCACGUAAUUAAAGGCCAUUUGGCAUCUAAGAAGGAGUGUGUGGUCUGCAAAGAAUGUGAGCCAGCCCUGAAAAACAGAACGUGGGGGGGGGCUCUAUAAACAGUAAACUGUGUGUGACUUACUGAGGGAGGAUGUUACACCAUUGGUUGGUCCAGUGUUGAUCUGUCAUUGAUUGGUUGUUGUUCUUUCAAAAUAAACACAAACGGUCCUCAACUGUCCAAAGGAGG